This is a long non-coding RNA of Bubalus bubalis (water buffalo), 882 nucleotides long. RefSeq lists it as uncharacterized. The transcript is spliced from 2 exons. The record is from RefSeq and is a predicted model, not a curated record. Lineage: Eukaryota; Metazoa; Chordata; Mammalia; Artiodactyla; Bovidae.
CAAAAUGCUUAAAGUUCAAAAGCAAUAACAACAACAAAACAACUUUGGAAACUGAUUGGCCCAAUUAGCAUAGCUAUAUUGAUUAAAUUCACUCAGUAAUUCCAAAUAACCUGAUUGUACACAGUAGCAAGCAUUUGUAGACAAACAUCUUAAAAACUCAAAAGGUUAAAAUAGAGUUUUCAAAGAGGGAGGAAUGGUGAGUAUCCAACAUAUCAGAAAUAUUCCCCAUAAAAGAGUGGUUUCUUACUGUGGUCUAACCUGUUUAAGAGAAUAAAAUCAGCCACAGCUAUUCUCAUUUUAAAAGACAUGAGCUUAGUUGCUUAAUGCUCAUUACUCUAUAUAGAAAUCCAUUUCUCUCUUUGCUGUCUCUUUAGGAAACCUUUUUUAAUAAUGCUCAGUAAAUUAGGCCUCCAUAGACUUGGCUUUAUCCCACCCUGCCAGUUUCUUUUCCUUUUUGUAUCUCUGUAAAAUAUCUGCUUAGAGUCUCUGAUUUGAAAUGUUAAUUAAGGUGGGCCUGGCCUCAGGUUACAGUGUACAUUCCUUUUUACAUGCAAAGGAGAUAUGCUAACUAGGUUACUAAGAAUCUGGGGGCCAAGAGGGAGUCUUCCAGAAGACAACAAAAGUCCAUGAAGAAUGGGGCACUUCCCAGCAACUCUCAGGAAGCAAUCGCUGGAAUUCAGCUGAACUGAUAUCCCAUUACUCCUGCUACUCCAGAAGAUCUCUUUAAACCUGCCAAAGAUGUGUUUUGUUUUCAAGAUUUUGAGGCUUAAUCAGUAACAAGCUACAUGUUGUCUGAGGAUUUGAUUUUUAUUGUGUGACUCAUGCCGAGGAAACAUCUCUCUCAUUUCCUAAGAGUGGGGACUAAGUGUAACAAGAAGAAAA